UUGGCUAAUAAUCUUUAGCAAAUCUUCAUGUACAGGCGAAAGAAGCAAGCCAACUUAUAGCAGUCACAACAAGGACAACAAUUGUGCACUGCGAUGAACUCAUUGUCACCACAACAAGCCCCUAUGAGCAAGCGGCAUGUGGUUCUAAAACUGAUUGGCGUGUGAGAGCAAUCUCAGCAAAGAAUCUAUAUCUUAGAGUCAAUCAUAUUUAUGUGAACACUGAGGACAUUAAGGAGACAGGCUAUACAUACAUCAUGGCCAAGAACAUUUUGAAGAAGUUUAUUUGCAUAGCAGAUCUUCGGACUCAAAUUGCAGGAUAUUUGUAUGGCAUAAGCCCCCCAGAUAACCCUCAAGUGAAGGAAAUCCACUGUAUUAGUUAUCAAUUAAAAUCAAUAUUUUUUAGCCAGCUCAUCAAAUUGAAGGUGUGCAUUGUAAUAAAUAUUAUAUAUUUUUUUAUUGUCUAGUAAUAUAAAUUUUGUUUAAUAUCCA
Magnolia sinica is the source of this 489-nucleotide long non-coding RNA. RefSeq lists it as uncharacterized. Lineage: Eukaryota; Viridiplantae; Streptophyta; Magnoliopsida; Magnoliales; Magnoliaceae. The transcript has 2 exons. The record is from RefSeq and is a predicted model, not a curated record.